RNAcentral lists this transfer RNA (73 nucleotides) under Canis lupus familiaris (dog). It matches the Rfam family "tRNA". Rfam says of the family: Transfer RNA (tRNA) molecules are approximately 80 nucleotides in length. Their secondary structure includes four short double-helical elements and three loops (D, anti-codon, and T loops). RNAcentral also lists the same sequence under 3 other names. The record is from Rfam by way of RNAcentral. Lineage: Eukaryota; Metazoa; Chordata; Mammalia; Carnivora; Canidae.
ACCUAGCUGGCUCAGUCAGUAGAAUGUAUGACUCUUGAUCUCAGGGUUGUGAGUUCGAGCCCCACGCUGGGUA